AACUUCAGACAAGGUUGGCAUUUAUUAUUAAGCCAUGCCAAUAAAUGGCUUUUCUAUGACAAUUACUAAGCCAUAUAGACAAAUAGCUUUUUUUUAUGAAAACCAGUAAGGCAAAUUAACGUCCAAUGUUGUAAUAUUUUUCCCAGAAGCCCCUUCCACAAACAUGUUGUGACAAUCAAUAAGGCUAAAGAAGGCUAACACAAGGAAUCCGAAUCCCAUAAUCCUACACCACGACUUAUGACUG
Molecule: long non-coding RNA, 244 nt
Filed under: Nicotiana benthamiana
Lineage: Eukaryota; Viridiplantae; Streptophyta; Magnoliopsida; Solanales; Solanaceae
Description: long non-coding RNA (NBEN_LNC001149)
Source: RNAcentral